UUCUUUCACUUCAUGCGCACUUGCAUUACAUUUCUCUCAUUUCUCCUCCCCCAAACGGCGUCGUCUUACUGGCAGUGUGGUAGUGGCUUAAUCUUCUAGGGUUUUAUAUGUUCUUCGCAAUUUAUUAGUCUCACUGAUUCAACUACUGAUCUCUGAUCGACCACCUUUUCAUCCAUGAAAACCGACGAUUCCUAGCGUGUGCUUCCUUUUCAGCUUCAAUUCGACAAACCAGUCGCCUCUCAGAUAAAAAUUUCGGAAUGGAACCCCGAGAAGGAUUUGCUGGCCAUGGUUACGGUAGACUCCAAGAUUUUGCUGCAUCGUUUCAAUUGGCAGAGGUUGUGGACAACUUCUCCUGGAAGGUGCAUAACAUCAUUAUGUUGGCGACCUGACGGUAAAGCCAUAGCUGUUGGGCUUGAAGAUGGAACAGUACUCUCACUGCACGACGUUGAAGUUAGUAGCCUUACUUUAUUGU
Non-coding RNA from Corylus avellana, 472 nucleotides. NCBI's taxonomy places the organism in Eukaryota, Viridiplantae, Streptophyta, Magnoliopsida, Fagales, Betulaceae. The record is from RefSeq and is a predicted model, not a curated record.